GGUUUCAUUUUCCAUUUACCAACUUGCAAAAUUAGUAAACUUGGAAAACAUCCCCAUGGUUAAUUGACAAACAAGAACUCCAAACUACCCAGAGAUAACAACACUUGGUUUAGGGCAGUAUUUGCUCAGAUUGGUGUUUUUAUGUUGUUUUUGUGUUUUUGAGACAGGGUCUCACUCUGUCGCCCAGGCUGGAGUGCAGAGGCACGAUCUCAUCUCAUUGCAACCUCUGCCUCCCAGGCUAAAGCGAUCCUCUCACCUCAGCCUCCCACGUAGCUGAGGCAGGAGAAUCCCUUAAACCCAGGAGGCAGAGAUUGUGGUGAGCCAAGAUUGCACCAAUGCACUCCAACCUGGGCAACAGAGCAAGACAGUCUCAAAAAAUAAUAUAAAAUGAACAUAAAGGACAGUAACAAGCAUUGGUGUAUACACAGAGAAGCUAGAAUCCUGGUACAUGCAUUGCUGUUGAGAAU
RNAcentral lists this non-coding RNA (467 nucleotides) under Pongo abelii (Sumatran orangutan). The record is from RNAcentral. Lineage: Eukaryota; Metazoa; Chordata; Mammalia; Primates; Hominidae.